Molecule: ribosomal RNA, 242 nt
Filed under: uncultured bacterium
Lineage: Bacteria
Description: partial 16S ribosomal RNA
Rfam family: Bacterial small subunit ribosomal RNA
Source: RNAcentral
CGUGAGCGGCGGACGGGUGAGUAACGCUGGGUAACCUGCCUCAUACAGGGGGAUAACAGUUGGAAACGGCUGCUAAUACCGCAUAAGCGCACAGUACCGCAUGGUACGUGUGAAAAACUCCGGUGGUAUGAGAUGGACCCGCGUCUGAUUAGGUAGUUGGUGGGGUAACGGCCUACCAAGCCGACGAUCAGUAGCCGACCUGAGAGGGUGACCGGCCACAUUGGGACUGAGACACGGCCCAA